GAUGAACGCUGGCGGCGUGCCUAAUACAUGCAAGUCGAGCGAACAGACGAGGAGCUUGCUCCUUUGACGUUAGCGGCGGACGGGUGAGUAACACGUAGGUAACCUACCUAUAAGACUGGGAUAACUUCGGGAAACCGGGGCUAAUACCGGAUAAUAUUUCGAACCGCAUGGUUCGAUAGUGAAAGAUGGCUUUGCUAUCACUUAUAGAUGGACCUGCGCCGUAUUAGCUAGUUGGUAAGGUAACGGCUUACCAAGGCAACGAUACGUAGCCGACCUGAGAGGGUGAUCGGCCACACUGGAACUGAGACACGGUCCAGACUCCUACGGGAGGCAGCAGUAGGGAAUCUUCCGCAAUGGGCGAAAGCCUGACGGAGCAACGCCGCGUGAGUGAUGAAGGUCUUCGGAUCGUAAAACUCUGUUAUUAGGGAAGAACAAACGUGUAAGUAACUGUGCACGUCCUGACGGUACCUAAUCAGAAAGCCGCGGCUAACUACGUG
This 497-nucleotide ribosomal RNA is filed under the name uncultured bacterium. RNAcentral describes it as "partial 16S ribosomal RNA". It matches the Rfam family "Bacterial small subunit ribosomal RNA", at positions 28 to 507 of the family's 1533-position model. The record is from RNAcentral.